AAAAAGGUCCUUCAUAAGGACCACAAAUAAUAUUCUGCAAAGAGUAU
Non-coding RNA from Sus scrofa (pig), 47 nucleotides. NCBI's taxonomy places the organism in Eukaryota, Metazoa, Chordata, Mammalia, Artiodactyla, Suidae. The record is from Rfam.